GUAGGUGAACCUGCGGAAGGAUCAUUAACACGUAUCCAACGUUAAACCCCCCUGUGAACUUUCAACACUGCUCUUGCAGCCCGUCUUCCUCCAGCAAUCCCUAGUAAAUCAUGGUGAACAGUUUGAUUUAGGGACUUCUGAGUCACGAGAAAUUACAGUUGCAAUUGUAGCGGUAGUGUAAGCGCCUUAGCUUCUCCUAGGCCUUUGAUGGAUUGGAAAGUGUCAUCAGAGAUACCGAAGAGAAGGCCCC
RNAcentral lists this unclassified non-coding RNA (250 nucleotides) under plant metagenome. RNAcentral's name for it is "partial contains small subunit ribosomal RNA, internal transcribed spacer 1, and 5.8S ribosomal RNA". The record is from RNAcentral.